UUGUCAAGUAGGAUAAUCCUUAUAUGUUCUUCCCUUUGGAGGGCAGAUGGGAGCAUGAUGACUGGAGGGAGCAUGACUCGUGAUUAGUGUCUCUGUACAGUCAGGACUGGCAAUGCUCUGACUACAAAAACCAAAC
Small nucleolar RNA from Artibeus jamaicensis (Jamaican fruit-eating bat), 136 nucleotides. RefSeq annotates it as U8 small nucleolar RNA. NCBI's taxonomy places the organism in Eukaryota, Metazoa, Chordata, Mammalia, Chiroptera, Phyllostomidae. The transcript has a single exon. The record is from RefSeq and is a predicted model, not a curated record.